AACAGUCGAAAUUCAGAGCGUUACGGAAUACGUUUUGCAAAAUUGAUGAUGAAUUAAAGAUUUAAUUAAAUCGAAACCCUCCCCUUGAAUCCUAUAAUAGAUGAGAUAAAGAAAGAAGAGCAUCCCCUCAAUCAAGCAAGCAGGCAAGCAAGCAAGACAUCAUGCCAGAAGAAGACGAUCGAUCUAGGGUUUGGAUACCAAUUGAAGGCUGCAACCGAUUCAUCUCAUCAUACGAAACAAAGCUUACUUGAUCUUAUAGGGAGAAGAAACAACCGAGAGGAGGGAUAGGGCUUUUGCCUCAAGAGUGUAAGCACAAAUGGUUUGUGGCAUAGUAGUUUGUUUAUAACCACUACAAAGAGGAAGAAGCUGCAUUGAGCUCAACGUCCAUCUAUUAACACAACAAAGGCUCAUCACGGUUUCAGUUUGGUUGGUGAGUGAGCGGAAUCUGUUCAGGAGGAGGGCGGAAGCCAAACGGGCUGAAUGAUAUAUACUGGGUUGAAACAUUUAACUAUGCGGACAAAGGGCUGACAAAAGCUUAUAGAACUACUGCCGUGGGCAAAAUCUCAAGUUACAUGUGGUGCUGUUGAUAAUUGUGUAUCGGCCCUCAUACCGUUCAUAUUUCAUAUAUCAGGAGGAUUUUAGAAUGAGAAAUCAAAAUCUAUAUAUAUUCUAAAGUUUAGUUAUAUGUUCUAUUU
This 695-nucleotide long non-coding RNA is filed under the name Helianthus annuus (common sunflower). The record is from RNAcentral. Lineage: Eukaryota; Viridiplantae; Streptophyta; Magnoliopsida; Asterales; Asteraceae.